CUAGGCCAGCCAUGUGACUGCCUUCCUCCCCUGCGGGCAGCAGCUGAGCAGCUACGGCAGAAGGAUCUGAGGAUUUCCCAGCUGCAAGCGGAACUCCGACGGCCACCCCCUGCCCCUGCCCAGCCCCCUGAACCCGAGGCCCUGCCUACUAUCUAUGUUGUUACCCCCACCUAUGCCAGGCUGGUACAGAAGGCAGAGUUGGUACGGCUGUCCCAGACACUGAGCCUGGUGCCCCGGCUGCAUUGACUGCUGGUGGAGGAUGCUGAGGGUCCCACCCCGCUGGUCUCAGGGCUGCUGGCUGCCUCUGGCCUCCUCUUCACACACCUGGUGGUCCUCACGCCCAAAGCCCAGCGGCUUCGGG
Molecule: long non-coding RNA, 361 nt
Filed under: Homo sapiens (human)
Lineage: Eukaryota; Metazoa; Chordata; Mammalia; Primates; Hominidae
Description: non-protein coding lnc-SMC4-3:1
Source: RNAcentral